This 916-nucleotide long non-coding RNA is filed under the name Mus musculus (house mouse). RNAcentral's name for it is "long non-coding RNA chr1:177467168-177468084". Lineage: Eukaryota; Metazoa; Chordata; Mammalia; Rodentia; Muridae. The record is from RNAcentral.
AGGGUGUGUAUGGGUCUAGGGUUUGGCACCUCGUGAGUAUCCAGAUGUGCCAGCUCUUCCUCUUGCUUGGCCUCACCCCUUUCCGGCUGGUACUUCCCCUGGGCUCAGCUGUGCCUGUCAGCUUUUACUUCUCUUUGCCACUCCACCUGCGGCUUCUGUCCCCAGGGAUCUGUCCUUAGAGGGACCCUCUCCACUGACCUGGAACAUUCAGUCGACGUCUUUUCCUGGUGCCUGAGGACCAGCAUAGCUGCUGUAAAGGCAAUGAGCUAUGAGGUGGGUGGGCCGAGGGCCUGAACCUCGAGUGCUUGCUUAGCUGAUCUCUGUGGUGGUAGCUCUCUCUCUCUCUUACAUCACUUACCCAGCAAACGUUCUGAGAAAGCUGGCAUCGCCUGGCUCGAGAAAACCCAAGCUGAACUGUCCUUUCCUCUUGGUGUGUCUUGCUCACUCUGCUUUGCAGCCCACUCCCCCUUGGCAACAGAUCCCUCCUCCCCCUACACUGGGUUCAUGCCCCUACUGUACAGUUCUUAACGGCCUGACUUUCCCCCAGAGCCUCACAAAUACCCUAACCCAUAGUAUGAGUGGUGACUGAUGCUGAAUCUAGAAGAAGCCUGGUACCAGUUUCUUUUGCCUCGAUUUGAUGACCCAGAAAUUCAGAUUUGAAUGACUAAAGAGGGUCACCUUUGAAAGCCACAAAUCGGGGUUUCAACUUAGUCAAAUUUCAGGCUCAGAUAAGGGAUGAGAAGUGACUGAUCUACAGUCACACAACUGGGUUGUAGUAUGGAUUUGAGAUUUGGUUUUGGUUUUUGUUGUUGUUUUGUUUUGUUUCCUAAUGUGCUUCCUGCCUCUUGGUGCUACUCAGAGUGGUAAACGAGAUGGCUAUGCCCCACAUCGUCCAUGGAUCAGGGAUCCACUGAGG